RNAcentral lists this ribosomal RNA (311 nucleotides) under Listeria monocytogenes. RNAcentral's name for it is "bacterial SSU rRNA". It matches the Rfam family "Bacterial small subunit ribosomal RNA", at positions 1 to 300 of the family's 1533-position model. The record is from RNAcentral. Lineage: Bacteria; Bacillati; Bacillota; Bacilli; Caryophanales; Listeriaceae.
UUUAAAGAGAGUUUGAUCCUGGCUCAGGACGAACGCUGGCGGCGUGCCUAAUACAUGCAAGUCGAACGAACGGAGGAAGAGCUUGCUCUUCCAAAGUUAGUGGCGGACGGGUGAGUAACACGUGGGCAACCUGCCUGUAAGUUGGGGAUAACUCCGGGAAACCGGGGCUAAUACCGAAUGAUAAAGUGUGGCGCAUGCCACGCUUUUGAAAGAUGGUUUCGGCUAUCGCUUACAGAUGGGCCCGCGGUGCAUUAGCUAGUUGGUAGGGUAAUGGCCUACCAAGGCAACGAUGCAUAGCCGACCUGAGAGGG